GCAGUCGUGGCCGAGUGGUUAAGGUGAUGGUCUUGAAAACCAUUGGCUUCUUCCCGCGCAGUUUCAAACCCUGCCGACAGCG
This 82-nucleotide transfer RNA is filed under the name Rhipicephalus microplus (southern cattle tick). Its description in RNAcentral is "tRNA-Ser". It matches the Rfam family "tRNA". Rfam says of the family: Transfer RNA (tRNA) molecules are approximately 80 nucleotides in length. Their secondary structure includes four short double-helical elements and three loops (D, anti-codon, and T loops). Further hydrogen bonds mediate the characteristic L-shaped molecular structure. tRNAs have two regions of fundamental functional importance: the anti-codon, which is responsible for specific mRNA codon recognition, and the 3' end, to which the tRNAs corresponding amino acid is attached (by aminoacyl-tRNA synthetases). tRNAs cope with the degeneracy of the genetic code in two manners: having more than one tRNA (with a specific anti-codon) for a particular amino acid; and 'wobble' base-pairing, i.e. permitting non-standard base-pairing at the 3rd anti-codon position. The record is from Rfam by way of RNAcentral. Lineage: Eukaryota; Metazoa; Arthropoda; Arachnida; Ixodida; Ixodidae.